Molecule: ribosomal RNA, 3375 nt
Filed under: Durio zibethinus
Lineage: Eukaryota; Viridiplantae; Streptophyta; Magnoliopsida; Malvales; Malvaceae
Description: eukaryotic LSU rRNA
Rfam family: Eukaryotic large subunit ribosomal RNA (bases 387-3375)
Source: RNAcentral
AUGACUAUUUAUAAUAGAUAUCUUGGCUCUCUCAUCAAUGAAGAAUGUAGUAAAAUGUGAUACUUGGUGUGAAUUGCAGAAUCCCAUGAAUCAUUGAAUCUUUGAAUGCAAGUUGCUUCCCAUUCCAUUGGGCCAAGGACACAUCUACUUGAGUGCCAUAUGUUGUUGCCCUUCCACCCCAUUACCCAUUGGGCUUUUGGUGAAGGGGUAAAAGAUGGCCUUCCAUGAUCUCGUCGAUCAUGGUUGGCCCAAAAGUGAGUCCUUGGCAAUGAUUGCACCAACCAUCAAUGGUAAAGCUCUUGAUGUGCCUCAUCUCCUAUGACAUGCACUCAUUGUCUAUCUAGACCCCAUCGGCCCCUUACAUCGCUCAAUCAAUGCUUGCAUUACCAUCCCAGGUCAGGCAAGAUUACCUAUUGAGUUUAAGCAUAUCAAUAAGUGAUGGAAAAGAAACUUACCAAGAUUCCCUAGUAAUGGCAAGCAAACUAGGAAGAGCCUAGUUUGAGAAUCGGGCACCCCUAAGAUCUGAAUUGUAGUCUAAAGAAGCAUCUUUAAUGGCGGACCAGGCCUAAGUCCCCUGAAAAAAGGCACCAAAAAAAGUAAGAGCCCUAUUAUGCCUAGACCCUGUCCCACAAUAAGGUGCAAACUAUUAGUCAGGUUGUUUGGGAAUGCAACCCAAAUUGAGCAGUAAAUUCUAUCCAAGGCUAAAUUCGGGUGAGUGACCGAUAGCAAAAAAGUACCGCAAAGGAAAGAUGAAAAGGUCUUUAAAAAGAGAUUUAAAUAGUGCUUGAAAUUGUUAUAAGGGAAAUAAAUGGGGGUUGGCUAUGCACCUUGGUCAAACAUGGAAUCGCGAGAGCCGGCCUGUAGAUAGGCACGAAGCAUGGAUCGAUACGGGUCAUGGUGGCAGCCUAAGCUUGGGCUUUUAAUAUGCCUAUAGAGAUGUCAUUUUUAUAAUUUUGGAAUGCAACACAAGUCAUCUUAGUGUGCCUUGGCACUCGCAUUCUCAAGAUAUUGGCUUGUAGGCUCCCCAUCUGGUCUAUCUUAAAACAUGAACCAAAAAGUCUGACAUGUGUGCAAGUCAAUAAGCUAGAAAACCCAUAAGGUGCAAGGAAGCUAAUUGGUGACAUCCCUCAUAGGUGCACCACUGACUGACCUUGAUCUUCUGAAAAGGGUUCGAGUGUAAGCAUGCCUGUUGGGACCAAAAGGAUGGUGAACUAUGCUUGUGUAGGGUAAAGCUAGAGGAAACUCUGAUGGAGGCCUACAGUGAUAUUAACGUGCAAAUCAUUCGUCUGACUUGGGUUUAGUGGUGAAAGACUAAUUGAACCAUUUAGUAGCUAGUUCCCUUUGAAGUUUCCCUCAAGAUAGUAGGAGCCCUUAGCAAGUUCUAUCGGGUAAAGCCAAUGAUUAAAGACAUCAAGGGUGUAAUGCUCUCAACCUACUCUCAAACUUUAAAUAGGUAGGAUGGUACAGCUACUUCAUUGAGCUGUGCCAUAGAAUCGAGAGUUCUAAAUGGGCCAUUUUUGGUAAGCAAAAAUGGCAAUAAGGGAUGAACUGGAAGCUGAGUUAUGGUGCCCAACUGUGUGCUAACCUAGAACCUAUAAAGGGUGUUGGUUGAUUAAGAUAAUAGGAUAAGGGUCACGAAAGUUGAAAUCUUCUAAGUGUGUAACAACUUACCUAUCGAAUCAACUAGCUUAAAAAAUGGAUGGCAUUUAAACAUGUGACCUAUACACAACUAUUAGGACAAGGGCAAAGGUCGGCCCUAAUGAGUAGAAGGGCAUGGUGGUUACUACAAAACUUAGGGCAUGAGCCCCGUAGAGUAGUCUCGAUGCUAAUCUUGGUGGUAGUAGCAAAUAUUCAAAUGAGAACAUUGAAUGCUGAAAAGGGGAAAGGUUCCAUGUGAAUUACACUUGCACAUGGAUUAGUCGAUCCUAAGAGAUGGGGGAAGCCUAUUCGAUAGUGUGUCCAAUGUGAACUUUAAAAGUGAAUCAAGUUAAAAUUCCUGAACCAGGAUGUAUAGGCUGACAGCAAUAUUAGGAAGUCAACAAAAUGGAUCCAUAGCCUCAAGAAAAGGAUUGGCUUUGAGGGCCAGGCACGGGGUCCUAAUCCCAAACUCAUCGGCUGUUGAUGUACUACUCGAGCUGGUAUCAUGGCAACAGUGGGUCAUUGUGUGCCAAUCAAGGAUGGACUUGGAAAGGCUUCCUUGAGGGCUUUCCCCAAGUAAUGAAUAGUCAACUCAAAAUUGAUACGGAUAAGGGGAAUCUAACUAUUUAAUUAAAACAAAGCAUUACAAUGGUCCCUACGAAUACUCAUGCAAUGUGAUUUGUGCCCAAUGCUCUAAAUGUCAAAGUGAAGAACUCAACCAAGUGAGGGUAAACAACAGGACCAACUAUGACUCUCUUAUGGUAGCCAAAUGCCUUAUCAUCUAAUUAGUGAGCACGUGAAUGGAUUAACACAAUUCCCAUUGUCCCUAUCUACUAUCCAAUGAAACCACAAUCAAAGGAAUAGGCUUGGCAGAAUUAGCAGGGAAAGAAGACCCUAUUCAGCUUGACUCUAGUCCAACCUUUGAAAUGAAUUGAGAGGUGUAGGAUAAGUGGAAGCCCUAAGUCAAAAUUGAAAUACCAUAACUUUUAACAUUAUUUUACUUAUUCCAUGAAUCGGAGGCAAGGCAGAACCCCUUAUAUUUGGCCUACGGCUAACCUUGAUUAGUCAAUUAAGGUAAAAGACAUUGUCAAGUGGAGAGUUUAUCUGGGGUAACACAUCUAUUAAAAGAUAAUACAGGUGUCCUAAGAUGAGCUCAAAUAGAAUAGAAAUGUCAAAUGGAACAAAAAGAUAAAAGCUCAUUUGAUUUUGAUUUCCAAUACGAAUAAACUAUGAAAGCAUGGCUUGUUAAUCCUGUAGACUUUCAGAAUUUGAAGCUAGAGGUGUUAGAAAAGUUAACAGAAGGAUAACUGUCUUAUGGUAGACAAGUGUUCAUAGUGAUGUUGCUUUUUAAUCCUUCAAUGUUGGCUCUUCCUAUCAUUGUGAAGCAAAAUUCACCAAGUGUUCGAUUGUUCACCCCCCAAUAAGGAAUGUGAGCUAAGUUUACCCUGUUAUGAGAUAGGUUAGUUUUACUAAAAUGGCAGCAUCACAAUAACAAUUCAACCUAAUAUGAGAGGAAUCGUUGAUUCCUACAUUUGGUUAUCCCACUUGGUUAAAAAGCUAGUGGCAUGAAGCUACCAUGCACUUGAUUAUGACUGAAUGCCUUUACAUUAGAAUCUAGGUUAGAAGGGACACAUGCAUCUGUCACCCAAUUGUCGACUAGUAGUAAGGGCCUAUGCCUUGAAGGGCACAUGUCAUAGGUGUAACACCCGUAGCAAACAAGCCAUACGGGCCUCUUUG